UCGAGGCACAUGGGCCGAGGGAUCCCUUGGGAAGACCGUCCCCAAAGCCAGGAAGACACAGCAUGGCAGGACCUAGAUGUGACGUCUGCCUUUCUCAGCUGGCACCCCUCUGUCUGAACUCCAGGCAGUUGGAAGCUAGCAGGGCUUGAUGCAGGCGGUGCCGCUAUUGUGAAUUAUUGCCCACAUGCUUAGAAAUGUUGUGAGCAAUGUUGGAGACAAUUACAAAGGAAACUUUAAAUCAAGUUGACCAUGAAGGAGAUUCAGAGACCUUGGGCUGGCUAGUUAUAGAGAGAUUGCAAGAGUCUCAAGCAAUGGUCAUUGAUUUAUUCACUCCACAAAUUUUUUGUUCCGUGCCUACUCUGUGCCUGGGCUGUCUGAGGGGCUGGAGACACUGAGAGGAGCCUGACACCGUCAUCCCUGCCUUCAUGGAGCAACGGAGAGCCUUCCCUUCCCAUUGAAUAGGCUCCCAUCCAGGAUACCUCACUGCAUUUAGCCGUCAUGUCUCCGGAGGCUCCUCUUGGCCGUGACAGUUCCUCAGACUUCGUUUUUGAUAACCCUGACAGUUUUGAGGAACGCCGAUCCAAUAUUUUGUUCCAGGUCUGGAGGCUGAGAAGUCCAAUAUCAUGGUCCUGGUAGAUUCAAUGCCUGUUGAGAACCCAAUCUUCAUCAACAGCCAUCUUCUCCCUGUGUCCUCACAUGGUGGAGAGGCAAGGGAGCUCCCUGAGGUCUCUUUAUCAGGGCACUGAUCUCAUUCAUGAGGGUUCCACCCUCAUGACUAAUCACCUCCCAAAGACCUCACCUCUAAACACCAUCACGUUGGGGGUUAGAUUUCAACAGGUGAAUUUUUGGGAGACACAUUCAAUCUGUGGCAAAUAGGUGUUAAUUUUAUUCCAUCUUCCUUUUUCACAUUUCUUAUUACAAAAACCAAAGUGAUGUGAUGACUUUUCCACUACAGAAGGCUUGGAGGGUCUGUGCAUCAAGAAAGAGAACAUAAGGAAGAAGGGAGUGUUUA
Long non-coding RNA from Ailuropoda melanoleuca (giant panda), 1012 nucleotides. RefSeq lists it as uncharacterized. The transcript is spliced from 3 exons. The record is from RefSeq and is a predicted model, not a curated record. Lineage: Eukaryota; Metazoa; Chordata; Mammalia; Carnivora; Ursidae.